AGUGAACGCUGGCGGUAGGCCUAACACAUGCAAGUCGAACGGCAGCACAGUAAGAGCUUGCUCUUACGGGUGGCGAGUGGCGGACGGGUGAGGAAUACAUCGGAAUCUACUUUUUCGUGGGGGAUAACGUAGGGAAACUUACGCUAAUACCGCAUACGACCUACGGGUGAAAGCAGGGGAUCUUCGGACCAUGCGCGAUUGAAUGAGCCGAUGUCGGAUUAGCUAGUUGGCGGGGUAAAGGCCCACCAAGGCGACGAUCCGUAGCUGGUCUGAGAGGAUGAUCAGCCACACUGGAACUGAGACACGGUCCAGACUCCUACGGGAGGCAGCAGUGGGGAAUAUUGGACAAUGGGCGCAAGCCUGAUCCAGCCAUACCGCGUGGGUGAAGAAGGCCUUCGGGUUGUAAAGCCCUUUUGUUGGGAAAGAAAAGCAGCAGGUUAAUACCCCGCUGUUCUGACGGUACCCAAAGAAUAAGCACCGGCUAACUUCGG
Molecule: ribosomal RNA, 491 nt
Filed under: uncultured bacterium
Lineage: Bacteria
Description: partial 16S ribosomal RNA
Rfam family: Bacterial small subunit ribosomal RNA
Source: RNAcentral